GAUGAACGCUGGCGGCGUGCCUAAUACAUGCAAGUCGAGCGAACGGACGCGAAGCUUGCUUUUCUGAUGUUAGCGGCGGACGGGUGAGUAACACGUGGAUAACCUACCUAUAAGACUGGGAUAACUUCGGGAAACCGGAGCUAAUACCGGAUAAUAUUUUGAACCGCAUGGUUCAAAAGUGAAAGACGGUCUUGCUGUCACUUAUAGAUGGACCCGCGCUGCAUUAGCUAGUUGGUAAGGUAACGGCUUACCAAGGCAACGAUGCAUAGCCUACCUGAGAGGGUGAUCGGCCACACUGGAACUGAGACACGGUACAGACUCCUACGGGAGGCAGCAGUAGGGAAUCUUGCGCAAUGGGCGAAAGCCUGACGGAUCGACGCCGCGUGAGUGAUGAAGGUCUGCGGAUCGUAUGACGCUGUUAUUAGGGAAGAACAUAUGUGUAAGUAACUGUGCGCAUCGUGACGGUACCUAAUCAGAAAGCCACGGCUAACUACGUG
Molecule: ribosomal RNA, 497 nt
Filed under: uncultured bacterium
Lineage: Bacteria
Description: partial 16S ribosomal RNA
Rfam family: Bacterial small subunit ribosomal RNA
Source: RNAcentral